AACGCACAUUGCGCUCUCUGGUAUUCCGGAGAGCAUGCCCGUUUCAGAAUCAGCGACAAUCAUCACCCUGGAGGGUUCCGGUCCGUCUGGAUCGGUUCUCGCUCGGGUGGAAUUUGGACGCGAUGUCACCUCUUCGGGGGAAAAGGAGACUCGUCCCAAAGACAUGGGAAAAUUGCCGAGGCGACCCGUUUUUUCGGAAACGGACCUGGCAAGGAAGAAACAAAAGCCUCACACGGUUUGGAAACUACUCCUUGCUGGGUUUCAGGAGCCUUUUGGGAAGCGUUUUCCGAAGCGCCCGUCCGGUAAUCGAAUCGGGGGCAACGAGCGGAUCCCUGGGAUUCACUCAAAAACUUGGUCUGAAAUCGGGCAAGAAAACCCGCUGAACUUAA
RNAcentral lists this unclassified non-coding RNA (389 nucleotides) under uncultured fungus. RNAcentral's name for it is "partial contains 5.8S ribosomal RNA, internal transcribed spacer 2, and large subunit ribosomal RNA". Lineage: Eukaryota; Fungi. The record is from RNAcentral.